GAUGAAGAACGUAGCGAAAUGCGAUAAGUAAUGUGAAUUGCAGAAUUCAGUGAAUCAUCGAAUCUUUGAACGCAUCUUGCGCUCCUUGGUAUUCUGAGGAGCAUGCCUGUUUGAGUGUCAUUAAAUUCUCAACUACACUGACUUUGAAUUGGUGUGGCUUGGAUUUGGGGGGAAAAUUGUUGUGGGCUUUUUGUAUAGUUUGCUCCCCUGAAAUUGAUUAGCGGUACCUUUGUGGAACUGUCUACAGGUGUGAUAAUUAUCUACAUCUUAGACAUCUGCUGGAAUGCUGCUUUCUAAACCUUACUUGUAUUGACAAUCUUGACCUCAAAUCAGGUAGGACUACCCGCUGAACUUAAGCAUAUCAAUAAGCGGAGGA
RNAcentral lists this unclassified non-coding RNA (376 nucleotides) under soil metagenome. Its description in RNAcentral is "partial contains 5.8S ribosomal RNA, internal transcribed spacer 2, and large subunit ribosomal RNA". The stretch from base 1 to 120 matches the Rfam family "5.8S ribosomal RNA", at positions 35 to 154 of the family's 154-position model. The record is from RNAcentral.